This 524-nucleotide ribosomal RNA is filed under the name Lachnopus sp. GZ15. Its description in RNAcentral is "partial 12S ribosomal RNA". The record is from RNAcentral. Lineage: Eukaryota; Metazoa; Arthropoda; Insecta; Coleoptera; Curculionidae.
GGUUAAACUUAUGAUGCAAUAAAAAAUAUUUGGUUGUAAUUAAUAAUUUUUAUUUUUAGAAUUGAAGUUUAAUUUUAUUAAGUGAAAUUUUUAAAAUUAAGAUAAGUUUAAUUUUAUAUUAUGAAGUUAAUAAAUUUAGAAUAAAGACUAGGAUUAGAUACCCUAUUAUUCUAAACGGAAUUCUUGUCACCUGAUUAAUAGUAGUUAAGUUCUUGAAAAUUAAAGGAGUUGGCGGUAUUUUAGUCUAUUCAGAGGAACCUGUUCUAUAAUUGAUGAUCCACGAUUUUUUCAACUUAUUUUAAUGGUUUGUAUAUCGCCGUAGUUUGAAUAUUUUUAAAAAAUUGUAAUAUUCAAAAUUUUUUUAAUAAAAGUAAUUCAGGUCAAGGUGUAGCUUAUAGAUAAGUAGAAAUGGGUUACAAUAAAGUUAUUUUUGGAUUGGUUGAUGAAAUUUAAUUAUGAAAAUGGAUUUGAGGGUAAUUUUAUUAAAAUUAAUAAGAUGAUUUUAGCUCUAAAGUAUGUACAUA